RNAcentral lists this long non-coding RNA (544 nucleotides) under Gopherus agassizii (Agassiz's desert tortoise). RNAcentral's name for it is "lncRNA (ENSGAGG00000008161.1)". Lineage: Eukaryota; Metazoa; Chordata; Testudines; Testudinidae. The record is from RNAcentral.
CAACUACACAGAGUUCUCUAGCUCUGUGCAGAGCAGGGGAAUCAUAGCUCAAGGCUGUGAAACACCAAGCAGCACUGGAGCAGACCCUAAUGCAAUGAUGGGGACUGUGCUGUUGCAUGAGAGGGAGGAGCAACGUGGCUCUAAACUCACUUCAAAUGCCUGCAGUUAGGACCAUAGGCCCUACCCUGCAUUACCAAGGAAGUGAAGAGGAGAAAAUAGAAUGUGGCAAACCAGGAAGAAGGAGCCAUUGGGAAAUACUAAGAGGAAUGUCCUGUAGAAAAUCUCCAUGGGAGAAGGUCCUAUUUAAGUUCUGUUGAUGGUAAAAUACUAUCAUCUGAAGAUCUUUCAUCUCAAGUAAGCAGUUCUAUCAUCUUUGAAGAUUCAUGAAUCCUGAACUAAUAAUCCAUAACCUUAACUGCAGGGCAUGAAGAUAGCUGACCCACUUGCAAAGCAGAUUGCUCUCCACUGAAGGGAGGUUGGUAUUGGUACUGUAAUUGCAUCCAAACAUCCAUGGAUCACCUAGUUCAUGUCCUCCUCCCCACAU